Molecule: transfer RNA, 71 nt
Filed under: Nanobdellota archaeon
Lineage: Archaea; Nanobdellati; Nanobdellota
Also listed under: 1 other name
Description: Nanoarchaeota archaeon tRNA-His
Rfam family: tRNA
About the family: Transfer RNA (tRNA) molecules are approximately 80 nucleotides in length. Their secondary structure includes four short double-helical elements and three loops (D, anti-codon, and T loops). Further hydrogen bonds mediate the characteristic L-shaped molecular structure. tRNAs have two regions of fundamental functional importance: the anti-codon, which is responsible for specific mRNA codon recognition, and the 3' end, to which the tRNAs corresponding amino acid is attached (by aminoacyl-tRNA synthetases). tRNAs cope with the degeneracy of the genetic code in two manners: having more than one tRNA (with a specific anti-codon) for a particular amino acid; and 'wobble' base-pairing, i.e. permitting non-standard base-pairing at the 3rd anti-codon position.
Source: RNAcentral
GCUGCUGUGGUGUAAUGGUAGCAUGUGAGCCUGUGGAGCUCCAGGCGGGGGUUCGAUUCCCCCCAGCGGCC